Molecule: long non-coding RNA, 2618 nt
Filed under: Brassica napus (rape)
Lineage: Eukaryota; Viridiplantae; Streptophyta; Magnoliopsida; Brassicales; Brassicaceae
Description: long non-coding RNA (BNAP_LNC014945)
Source: RNAcentral
AAUAAUAUUUCUUUAGUAUAGUGGUAUAAGCCUGAGUUAUUGCAUGUCAAUCUGGGUUGGAAACUACAGUAAUGCAUAUUUCAUUUUAUUUUAUUUUAAAACCAGUGGCGAUUAUUUUGUUUCGCCUCUAGUCUUAUAAAAUCUAGGACCUGCUCUGUUUAUAGAGUUUGAAGUCAGAUUCAGUUUCAUAUUACAAUCAGGUGAAACCAACUUCUUCUGUUUGUAAAUACGUGAAGCUGCGUCAUACCGUAUUAAAGGUUCCAUGUGGACGCCGCUCAACUGGGACAAGAGUUUCUACAUCAGCAAGAGUGACUCCGAGACCGCCUUUUGACCUUUCGGUAUAUUUCUGCUUUGGUGUAGUUCUCUAAUAAAACAAUUUAAGACUAUACUUGUUAAUGAAAGCUCAAGUGUACGUCGCUAUCAGAGAAAUAUAGAUUAAUUUAGUUUCUUUGAAAAAUUCAUGAUUACAACUAGGAAUGUUCGAUUCGCAUAAACAAUAUACCAAUCUGGAAAACUGAUCAUGAUAUGUAUAAUGUUAAUAAACUUUUUCGCUAUCUUGUCCCACUAUCAGAGAAAUAUAGAUUAAUUUAGUUUCUUUGAAAAAUACAUGAUUACAACUAGGAAUGUUCGAUGCGCUUCUUUAAGAAACUUAGCAAGAGGCCUCUAUCUGAUACCAUGCAUCGAAGACUCUCCUACGCUGAGAAAGAAAAGGGUCCAGCUGAACCCUCACCUCCUCCACGAUCUGCCAGAGUUAAAGUACCGGCUUUUGAUAGCUCUGAACUUAUCAGGAAACAUUCUCUCACUCUUGUGAGAAGACUGACAAAUCUCAAGUACCAAAGGAUGUGGUCUCUCAUUCCUUUCCUUUCUGAUCAUUUGCAGUGUGAAUCGCGCCCUAUAGGUACAGAUCUUGGCCAAGGCCGCUUCCAGUUCCAAUUCGCAUCAGAAAGAGAUCUUGUAAAGGUCCUGGAAAACCAACCGUACCACUUUGCGCGCUGGAUGAUAAUGCUGCAAAGAUGGGAACCCUCCGUCUCUCCUAGCUUUCCGAACCAGCUCCCUUUCUGGAUCCAGGUCUAAGGUUUACCCCUCCACCUCUGGUCUACAGAAAUCCUAGACUGUAUUGCUUGCGACAUUAGAACCCUGGAUCACUCUGAGAUAAGCAACACAGUCGCAAGAACCAGGGUUUUUAUCAACGGCGUUCAACCCCUCAUCCGCAAAACCACCUUGGAGUUUGAUGAUGGUCGUGAACUAGAAGUCGAACUAGUAUAUGAAAAAUUACAGAAUCACUGCACUAUAUGUUCCAGCUUGUGUCAUGGCAAAGAAGCAUGCCGAGAGAACCAAAAACCUCACCCUGAAGCUCCAGAAAACUAUAGGAGGAAACCAUCUGGUGAGAGAGUUCACUCCACUCAACGUAACGUGGCCACUGACUCCUUAACCUCUAGGAGAACAUACCAACAAAACUCUUACAGAUCUCCCCCAUAUCACCAGAGAGAUACUGUUGGAGGAAACUCCACCUAUGCACCUGAGAAGCAAAUCAGAAGGUUUGAAAGGGCGUCAGAGACCCACAAUUAUAAAAUUCCUCCCUCAACGGAGAGAACCAUUACAGCAAGAGAGCCAUACCGCGGAGCUAUACACCGUGACUCAAGAAGGAGAGAUGAUAGCUUUAACUCUUACCGUUCUCGAGAGUACAGACGAUAUGAGCAACAUAAAAACAGCGUGAGCCACAGAAACUCUCAACCUUCUAGGUAACUAUGGGUCGAAAAGAAGAACCAAAGAGAUCGUCAAGCAACUUAUCUAGAGAAAUCUGAAUCCUCACGGCCUACUGUUCAACCUAUCCAAAACGUUCAAGCUCCCUUCCCUCCUACUGAUAUUCCACCAGGGGCAAUCAACAUAGCUAGGGAGGAAAUAAGAGAUUACAUGCAGCAAUAUUCCAACUGCCAGGACCCUACUGAGAGUGAAGCACGCAAAGAAAGGCUGAGACAUGCAGAAGAGCAGGGAGAUAUCGAGGAAGCAGCUACCCGUUUGGCUCAAAGCAACCUAGUAACCAAUCACCUCGAACCGGAGCAGGUACCUAAUGAGGAGACUCCUGAAAGAAUUCCUGCAUCACACAGAUUGGGACCUGUUAACGAAGCACAUUCUGCUUUCGAUAGACUGGGACCUCUAGUGUCCCCUCUGGAAAGGGUGGAAUUACCUCGAUCAGUGCAAACCCCACUUAAAAGGAAACCUGGCAGACCUUCUCUAAGACGUGCAACCCCACUAUCUCUGGCAAUGAUAAGUGCAUGCAUUCGUAAGAGACGUGUUUCGAAAGCAACAAAAUCAUCUAAGACAAUCCCUUGUAAUGAGGAGAACACAACAAAAACUAUCCCUCGUAGAGAGGAGAACAGCUCCAGAACCAUGCCAAAAAAGUCGAGUCUAGGCAAAACAAGUAUCUCAAACAGAACCAUGCGAGGUGGAACUUCUGCUUCAGGACCUUCUCGCAGAGCUACAGGGUUGGAUUUUCAAAUCCUCCCUCUCCUCUUCCUUAAAAAUUGUGGCAUGGAACUGCCAAGGGUUGGGGAACCCUUGGACAGUUCAAAGACUCCGAGAAAUCUGCAAGGAGUAUGAUCCAGAUGUGAUUUUCC